RNAcentral lists this ribosomal RNA (486 nucleotides) under uncultured bacterium. Its description in RNAcentral is "partial 16S ribosomal RNA". It matches the Rfam family "Bacterial small subunit ribosomal RNA", at positions 28 to 507 of the family's 1533-position model. The record is from RNAcentral.
GACGAACGCUGGCGGCGUGCUUAACACAUGCAAGUCGAACGCUGAAGACCUGGCUUUUGUUGGGUUGGUUGAGUGGCGAACGGGUGAGUAACACGUGAGUAACCUGCCCUCUUCUUUGGGAUAACGCCCGGAAACGGGUGCUAAUACUGGAUAUUCACUGGCCUUCGCAUGGGGGUUGGUGGAAAGGUUUGUUCUGGUGGGGGAUGGGCUCGCGGCCUAUCAGCGUGUUGGUGGGGUGAUGGCCUACCAAGGCUUUGACGGGUAGCCGGCCUGAGAGGGUGACCGGUCACAUUGGGACUGAGAUACGGCCCAGACUCGUACGGGAGGCAGCAGUGGGGAAUAUAGCACAAUGGGCGAAAGCCGGAUGCAGCGACGCCGCGUGAGGGAGGGAGGCCUUCGGGUUGUAAACCUCUUUCGCUCAUGGUCAAGCCGCAACUGUGGGUUGUGGUGAGGGUAGUGGGUAAAGAAGCGCCGGCUAACUACGUG